This is a non-coding RNA of Macaca mulatta (Rhesus monkey), 3719 nucleotides long. The record is from RefSeq and is a predicted model, not a curated record. Lineage: Eukaryota; Metazoa; Chordata; Mammalia; Primates; Cercopithecidae.
GAUCCACCCGCCUCGGCCUCCCAAAGUGCUGGCAUUACAGGCGUGAGCCACCGCGUCCGGCUGUUCUUUCUUAAAGCUGAAUAAACUUGGUGUUGGUUGAAGCUUACUGUGCCUUGUUAGUUUGACAAUGUAAAUCUAAGACCUCUGCUUCUGGGUGAGCAGAGUGGGUGCUGCAACUGUUAACUGUCUGAGACUAUGCAAAGGGAAACAUGAGAAAGAAAUGUACUUGCCCUGUGUAAUAAAGCAGAGGCUUAUGAUGUGAUGCAAUUGUACAAUGGAAGAAAUAGGAAGGAUGGUGAAUUGUGGGGCUGAAAACUGGAGGAUGGUAGAAAUCUCUGUAGGGAACAGUAGACCCUUGAGCCCUACUAGAACCCACACAGCCAGACAACUUCCUCUUCUUUUCUGUCCUCACUGGCAUCCAAUCUCUGACCACAAUUCUAUCUUCUGAAGAAAUCAAACCAGUAAGGACUCCAACUGAGAAAAAUAAGAGAUCAUGGAAGUCAAAGAGAUUCCAGAAAUCUUCCUUGAACAUUUUCCCUAUGUGUGGAUAAACGGAGAAAAAGACCAUCUAUGAACCAGGAAGAGAGCCCUCCCCAGGAACCAAAUCAGUCCUCACUUUGCUCUUGGACUUUCCAGACUCCAGGACUGUGAGUAAUAAAUUUCUGUCAUUUACAGGUAACCCAGUUUAUGGUAUUUUGUUACAGCAGCCUGAAUGGACCAAGACACUUGGGAAAUGGAAAGAGGGAGUAAGAUAGAUUUUUAAUAUCCAUAUUUAUUAUCAUGAUCUUGAACACACACACACACGAAGUUUCUAACACAGAGAAAAUUAUUAUUUACUCAUAGCAAAUAAACAUGUGGUUUCCUGGUACCUUAACUUUUUAACCCUGGUGUAAAGCAAUGAGAUCCAGAUGUUAUCCUAUACAUACUAAUUUGUAUUGUAGGAGAGUAGUUCAGAAAAAAAUAAUCGAGGUAUUUUGCUUGUUGGGAAGCAUGUUUUUACUCUGACCUUUUGGAAUGUAUAUAAAUCUCUCCAAGGGAAAGGUAACAUUAUUGUGUUCAGCUUUUGAACUUAGGAGUAUCUUUGAAGUCGCAUGUCUCAGUAACCUGUACCCUCCCCCAAUUCCUCAAAUGUAUUUCUCUAGAAUUCUUUAUCUCAAACAGACAUAAUUUAUCUUUCCAAACUGGCCCAUGUCCCGACUUUCUGUAAAAUUUACUCAGAAAGCUUUACCUGUCAAAGCUGAGUUUAUUAAGCUUAAUACAGAAAUGGAAAACCCCACAUUCACCAUCUUUUAGUAUCAAAAGGCAGGGAAAAGAUAAUUGAUAUAUUUUGUCCCCCAGACUCAAAUAGAUUAGUAUGUAUAUUUCAAGGCAAGAAAAAUGAUUGGGAGUUAAUGUCCAAGUUUGUAAUAUACUUGUUGAAGAUUAGUAGACACAGCAAGACCAGGCUCUCAAAAUCAACCUCGGCAUGCUGGCUAUCGUCCUGGUAAGUGAGCACUUUGUCCAGGUGAGCAGGUUGUUGUGUGUGUGUGUGGGGGUGUGUUUGUUGUGAGUCUAGAGUUGACAAAUUUUACGCCUUUCUUAACUUUUAUUUUUUUCUGCUUGCUCAUUACAUGACUUGAAAUAGUUUACAAGUCACUGCAUGAUAUGAUUUGGAUCUGUGUCCCCACCCACAUCUCAUGCUGAAAUGUAAUCCCCAGUGCUGUUGGUGGGGCUGGGUGGGAGGUGAUUGGAUCAUGGAUGCAGUUUCUAAUGAAUGGCUUAGCACCAUCCUCCUUGGUAUUGUCUUGAUGAUACUGAGAUCAUCAAGAUACUGAGUCUCAUUGAAGAUACUUGGUAUUGCCUUGAUGAUACUGAUACUGAGUUCUUGUGAGAUCUGGUUGUUUAAGUGUGCGGCACCUCCCCCUUCUCUUUUCUUCCUGCUCCAGUCAUGUAAGAUGAUCCUGCUUCCCCUUUGUCUUCCACCAUGAUUGUAAAUUUCCUGAGGCCUCCCUAGAAGCAGAGCAGAUGGCCAACAUCACGCUUCGUUUAAGCCUGCAGAACCAUAUGUCUCCUCUGCUACUGGAGGAAAUUCUGAAUAAGAGUGAGUGCAUUUGAUUUCUCUUUGAACACGUAUGAGAUAACUAGCAUGGUGUCUGGCUUUGAAAUGAAACACUGAAACCUCUAUGGUUGCUUGUAAUUUUAAGGCCAUUCUGACUGAAGACAGACAAAAAGUGAGUCAAUGAUGAGCCCUCAAAUUUUAGGACUCAUUAUUGACUCACUUUCUAUCCACAUGCUUCAUAUGUUUUUGUAUUAAUGAGUAAGUAGGUGGAUGAGGAUAAUGCAUAUUUACUUAAUCUUUUAAUUAAAUUCAGUUGAGAUGAUGGGAAGCCUCUCUCUCAAAGAUAUCCAUCCAGUUUGAUGGCCUUGUACAGCAAACAUCGGGCUAUGUUUGAAUUUGAGUUCACAUUAUCCUAUUAAAAUGAUAAUACUAGGUGAAAGUUUCUUGACUUCAGUCAGAUAAUCUUUGAGAGGCAACUCUUCCUUGGAUCACCAAAAAUACAUUAAAUUUGAGAAAUGGAUAAUCCUAACCCGUUUAAUUUUGUUUACACCCAGCUAGAAUGGUGGAAAGCUGUCAAAAUCCAACCCCAGAGAACAAGGUCAUUACCUCCAACAAACUCAUGUGUUCAAGCUGCCAAUUUGAGGCUUAGAGUAAGCUCUCAAAAAGAGAGCUAAUAGCAGUGCCUCUAUGUAACUUGCAGCCAACUAGCUUAAAGGCACUUAAAGAUAUUUUAUUGGCAUGCAAGUCAGGAAAUGCAACAAUACUACUAAACUCCAGUGGUCCAAGAUAGUGGUGAACUUUCAUGAUGCUCUGCUCCAAGUGACAGAUGCAAGCCUUUGGAAGCUGUGCUAAAAGGGAAUUAUAAUAAAACUGGCUGCAUGGUGAGAAAAAAACACAGCCUCGUGGCAGGACAGUUAUGAGAAAUAUGGAUUCAGCUGGUGUUGUUUACACAUUAGAAAAAAUGUAUUUCGCGCUAAAUCCAAUCUGUGAUGUUCCAAUGAGAAUAUGUGGCAUCCAGUAAUCCACUAUCAAAGCUGAUCUUCCUACUUGCAUAAAGAGUGAUAUGAAAGAAAGAGGGAUUAGAGACUCUGUUUUUAUUUCAUUCCUCUGAAUGUUAUCUUUGGAGGAUUAAGAAUGACUGAUGCUGAUACACUGAGACAACCAGUUGAGACCAAGUAAUUCUUGAAAGAGAAAAUUGACAGAUAUAUCUGGCUGUGCACCUGAAUACUAGGAAAAUACUUAGGAAAGUGUGCUUUGAGUUUAGAGUGUUCAUUCUGAUAAAUUUUAUGUAUAUUUAAUCAUUCAGGAAAGAGGAGAGCUAUGCGAAGUCUGUAGUAAAUGGCACAUUUGAAAUGUCAGUUGGCAUAUUCAUGAAUAUGUUUCCUACUUGUAAAUAAAAUUAAAAGAACUGGAAACAUACUUCUAUAGACUGAAUACUUAAGUCCUCUACAAAAUGUGCACAUUUAAAUUCUAACUUCAGGGUGAGGGUAUUAGGAGGAAGGAUCUUUGGAAGGUGUUUAGGUCAUGAAAGCAGAGCUUUCUUGAAUGGGAUUACCUUAUAAAAAGACCUCGGGGAGAUCCCCUGCCCUUUCUCACCACAUGAGGGCAAGCUCUCAAGAUGUUAUCAAUCAGUAAGCAGGUCCUCACCAGACACUGAAUCUGCUGGCACCUUGAUCUUGCA